GACGAACGCUGGCGGCGUGCCUAAUACAUGCAAGUAGAACGCACAGUUUAUACCGUAGCUUGCUACACCAUAGACUGUGAGUUGCGAACGGGUGAGUAACGCGUAGGUAACCUGCCUGGUAGCGGGGGAUAACUAUUGGAAACGAUAGCUAAUACCGCAUAAUAUUAAUUAUUGCAUGAUAAUUAAUUGAAAGGUGCAAUUGCACCACUACCAGAUGGACCUGCGUUGUAUUAGCUAGUAGGUGAGGUAACGGCUCACCUAGGCGACGAUACAUAGCCGACCGGAGAGGGUGAUCGGCCACACUGGGACUGAGACACGGCCCAGACGCCUUCGGGAGGCAGCAGUAGGGAAUCUUCGGCAAUGGACGAAAGUCUGACCGAGCAACGCCGCGUGAGUGAAGAAGGUUUUCGGAUCGUAAAGCUCUGUUGUAAGAGAAGAACGGGUGUGAGAGUGGAAAGUUCACACUGUGACGGUAUCUUACCAGAAAGGGACGGCUAACUACGUG
Molecule: ribosomal RNA, 505 nt
Filed under: uncultured bacterium
Lineage: Bacteria
Description: partial 16S ribosomal RNA
Rfam family: Bacterial small subunit ribosomal RNA
Source: RNAcentral